Molecule: RNA transcript, 3981 nt
Organism: Scylla paramamosain (green mud crab)
Lineage: Eukaryota; Metazoa; Arthropoda; Malacostraca; Decapoda; Portunidae
Exons: 6
Source: RefSeq, a predicted model, not a curated record
CAGUUAUCCAUGACCAUCUGGACAGACAGGACAAUUGCCAGCUAGUGUACAAUUGACAUACCAGAUACCCACGGAGGGCACGGUGUUGACUUGUAACAUCGUGAGUCUAGCAACGUGGUCCCUAGUCAGGCUCCCAUCCAGUGCCUCAACAACUGGCACGGGCACUUCGACGGUUUGCCCGUGGUUUCCUCGUCUAUGACGUCAUCUACACGUGACCACCAUCCACACCACAAAAUUGGUAACAGUGUCUGCCCGCCGUGCAUUUGCCCCUCGUGUGGAAGGGGGUUUAGAAAGCGAGAGAAACCCACUCACCAAUCAGUGCUCGUCGGGCUCUACCCGAGAGUGUGGACACGGCUUCAUACUCCGUUCCUGUUAGUUGCCGCUGCCACAGACACUUCUUAAGGUUUUCACGCCACCGACCAUCACCUGCAGUGAUGGUGACACAAUGAGGACAUCUCUCUCAAACGUCGAUCCUCACACCAGCGAGGCAGCUGUGGAGGAACAUUCUGAUUAUGAGGUACCGGGAAUCCACUCUCACCUGUACUCAUUAGCCCAGCAACCCUAAUUAGCAGUCAGGUAGCCUCGCACCUUCCUUCACUCGAGGACGAUGCUGGAGGAAGAGGAAGAGGAGUUCCAAAAGCGAAACAGCGAGGAAGAGAGAUUUGGAGGGAAAGGAAGAGGAACUGAAACAAGGAAGCAGAAGAGGAGGAGGAGUUAACUCGGUCGUCCUUGUUUGUUUACACUACAGCUGUAUUGAUACUUGUCUGCAUCUGUUUGUUCAGGAUAGGUGGUACACUUUUUUUUUUUUUGACCUAUAGGCUUCUUCCUCUGUGAUUUCCUUGCAGUAGACUCUCUCUCUCUCUCUCUCUCUCUCUCUCUCUCUCUCUCUCUCUCUUAUAUCAACACACACACACACACACACACACACACACACACACUCACACUCAGUAAGGAAAAUGAAACAGUCUGUGAAUUGUAAACAGAAACAUUUCUUCGGUAACAAGCUUUGCACAAUAGUUCCUCAACACCUCUAAACACAGAUACACAGUAACUCAGGGCCUUGUAUGGAUUUUCUAUAGUUAGUUUUAAAAGGGAGACAAAAAAAUAUCCAGCGUUAUAAUAGUUGUAGUUAAUAUAUUAAAUAUUGUUUGUGGUUGUGUUCAUUUUGAUUUAGACUGUAUGUAUGGUAUUUGAGGUAAAUUUUUCAUCCUUAAUCUAAGCAGUAUAAGAUUUAGGUAUAUAAAUAGGGAUUUUAUUUAAAAUAUUUGGGCAGCUUUCUAUCUAUUUUCACAUUUUUAUCUCCUUUUCUGGCUAAUUUUCCGUUUUCCAUUUUCACUUUAGGAUUUUUGUUUUCAUUUCGGUUUUUCUGUCCUCGUUCUUCCCGUCUUCCAUUUUUUCAUUUGCUAAUUAUACAACACGAACAAAACAGAGCGAAAUAAAAAGUUAAGUAAAAAGGAGAGGAGUAACGUACAAAAAAAUAAAUAAAUAAAGAAGGUUAAUUAAGACCUUUCUUUUUUCUUCGAUGUCUCGUGGUUGCUGAAAAAUUGAUCGGAAGACCCAAGAAAAAAAGCAUUAACAUAAUUUUGUAACCUAAGCUUUUGUAGCCUAACUUUUAAUGCGGAACUUUCCAGACUCGAAAAAGGAGUAGACUAGAUCGGGAGGUCUCGCCGGAACAGACUCUUGACUGAGCAUUGGUGAAGAGGUGGAGAGCAGAAGUCUGUUAGAAAGAAGGAAUAAAGAAUAAAGAUUAGAAAACAAAAAUAGGAAAGAAAGGGGAAGGCAUAUAUCAGAGGGAGAAUGAGGAAAGGAGGAGCAAAAAGGGAGGAAAAUAGAGGUCAGGAAGCGGGUGUAGGAAAAAAAGGAGAGGGAAAGUGGUGGAGAGGAAGAGAAAGGUAGUUUAUAGAAAGUGAAGGAGGAAUAGAAAAGGAGGAAGAGUAGAGGUUAGAAAAGAGACAAAGAAUAAAGAUUAGGAAACAGGAAUAGGAGAUAAAGGGGAGAGAAUCGGUUAAAAGGAAGAGAAAGGCAUAUCAGCAAAUGAAGGAGAAAAGUAGAAAGGGAGGAAGAAUAGAUGUUAGGAAGCAGGAAUAGGAGAAAAAGAAGAGAAACGGGUGGAAAAGAAGAGAAAGGCAAAUUAGACCGUGAAGGAGGAAAGGACAAAUAGAAAGGGAGGAAGAAUAGAGAUUAGGAAGCAGGAAUAAGAGAAAAAGGGGAAGAAAGGGUUAGAGAAGAAAAGGCAAGAGUUUGUAGAGGUGGAGAAAAGGAGAGAGGUUAAAGAGGGAGGAAGAAGGGAGGAUGGUAGGAAAUUAAUUAGGACAUUUGUUUUCUAGGGACUGAAUUAAAAAAAAAACGGGAUGAAGAAAUGAAGCAAGGUAGUGCUAAGUGACCUGAGUAAUGUCUACAAUUUUUGGGGGAACAGUAAAUGAGAAGGAAAAGUGUGGUGGUAAUAGAAGUAGUAGCAGUGGUGAUGGUGGUACUAGUAGUAUUUGUAGUAAUAGUAGUAGUUCACCUUCCACACAAGUUUUAAACUGCCAUAAUUAUUAUGGUGUGUGUGUGUGUGUGUCCUCUCUCUCUCUCUCUCUCUCUCUCUCUCUCUCUCUCUCUCUCUCUCUCUCUCUCUCUCUCUCUCUCUCUCUCUCUCUCUCUCUCUCUCUCUCUCUCUCUCUCUCUCUCUCUCAUGACUUGUAGGUGUCUAAGUGUACGUUGAUAUCCAAGCUUACUUCCGUCACAACAAACCGUCAGCUGAAAGGAUCCUCACGUCAUCCUCAUCUCUCCAUAGAAUCACAGCACCUUGGAGGGCAACACUUAUAAGGACCAUAUUCUGAAACACUUCUGCGCCGCAUCUCUACUAUAUUCAAAAGGCUCUAGUUGAAGUUAAGUGGGUUUUUAAGGAUGUUUUCGUGGUUGUAGUGACAUACAAACAUGAUUUUUAUACACGAUGAACAUUGAGAACCCGGCUUAUUGUCUCUGUGGUCUUUGAAAAUAAUCGUGGUGAGAGAGUAAAGUGUUUCAGAGUAGACACGCCCAGGCUCGCACUUCGCCUCGUACAUACCACCACAGUGCGUUUCACCGCCCAUCUCGGAGUAUGGAACGACGACGCUCGUGUGUCACCUCUCAUACCAGCUGCAGGGACAGGCUGCUCCUUGCCACUUGUAAGGCGGUGCGCCACAGCGUCCUGGCGGCUGCGGAAAGGGCCACGGCAGUCUUCUCUACAUCCACGUGUGUACAGAGGUUUUGAACACUGAUGCAGAGGAUUAUGAGUAGCCCCUUGGCCCCCGACGGAGAAAAGGAAGUACUCCUGCGCUCACUUCCCGGGGAUCACCCGCACUACUUAAGACAGUCUGAUCCGGAACAAGACUCCUCCACAGCAAGUACUCUCCCUACCACUACGAUUGUCCCACACGAUGUGUGGCGAUUUUAAUCAGAGAUUGCAGGACUGCAUCAUUCCUCACUCACAACUGGUCUCCAUUCACUUCUGUCAUGCACAAUCAUUCUACUAUGCUCUAGGAGCGUACACAAUACCUGACCAGAGGCGCCCACCCAGCGUCAACAACAGACCAAUUCAGAGAGGUUUCUCCGACGCCCCUGAUAUGUCUACUUGGAGAGCUUCAUCUUGCCCCCUUCACUAUUUCUACUCAGAGAACUCUCUCGUACCCUCCCAACACCUACAUUGAGAGCUUCCUCCAACCUUCCAUCAGACGGAAUGACGGUGGGACAACAGAGAGCAGGUUGGAUUGAAGCCAAUGGUGGACACAGCUAUCACACACACUCCUCAGCAUUGAGGAGAGUGCCUGAGGAAGGUCCCCAUACGCCCUUCAGUAACUUCCGCCCUUACAGUUCGGGUUUCAGGAACUGGAGUAGAAAUCACUCACCUUAUAACCACACACCUACUCCAAGAUCUGAGACGCGGGAGACACACAAUGAAUAUGCAUUAUGAACUAAGAAGUCAAUUGGUUUCGAAUAAUUCUGAGCCCUAUAAGAGGA